Long non-coding RNA from Rhododendron vialii, 1730 nucleotides. RefSeq lists it as uncharacterized. The transcript is spliced from 2 exons. The record is from RefSeq and is a predicted model, not a curated record. Lineage: Eukaryota; Viridiplantae; Streptophyta; Magnoliopsida; Ericales; Ericaceae.
CAAAUAUAUUAAGGAUAGGACUCCUAUUGAAUGCGUUAUUGACGAUGGUGAGGGACCCUCACUGAGGGUGUAUGUCUUGUUUUAUACAUACCACGUUCUACAUUACACUUAAGUUACUGAACUUAAGCCCAAAAUCACACUAGGUCUAAUUGAUAGCUCUACUAAGAAGACAAAUAAGUAAACAAAGAACAAUCUUUGCUCUACAUCACACUAGGUCUAAUUGACAUACCACAAUCUUUGCUCUGUUUUUUGGUGGGAGGAGGACACAAAUAGACACCAUGCACCAACAACAAACGCCUAUUUCACCCAGUCCUUAACUCACCCAACCACUUGUAAGACGAAUCAAGACUAGCGGAGUAACAUUUUAAUACCAGUAAAUAGCUGAGCUAGCUGGUGGACUAUUUUGAAAAGAACGAAAGAAUCCGAUGAGAAUAUAACGUGCCAACAGCCAACUCAAUGGCAAGAGUUUCGCGAGAAAUUUUUUUAAGGAUACAAACCAUGUUCAUUUCGGGAUUUUGGACUUCGGACUUUCUCCCUGUGCAUGGUCCCCAUAAAUUUUUUUUUAUCAAUUAUUACUCUCAUUUUUUUCUCUAUCUCUCUCACUCAUUACCCAAAAUCCAAAAUCCUAAAACAAACAUGGCCAGUUCUUGGAACAAAUUCCCGUGCAUAGAACGGGCUCACCACUAGUAUCCUUGAUGACAAAUUGUCCCCCCAAAAAAAUCAUGAAACAACGGGGCGCCUUGACCCCAAUAGCCCUCUCCUAGAUCCGUCUCUGAUGACAAUGUUAAUCCCUUGUUUGGAUUCCAACUUCAAAAAAAAAAAAUUCAACUCAAAAAACAUUCAUUUCCCCUACUUUCAAUCAUUAUUUUCAUUUUUCUCUUAUCUCUCCAAUUAUUAUUCUCAUUUUUUUCUCUAUCUCUUUCUACUCAUUACCCUUAUUUCCAAUCAUUAGCCUAAUUUCUCUCCGAUCAUUACCCAAGAAACCAAACCCAAAAUUUUUUCAAAAAGGAACCAAACAUAACAUUAUCUUCCCACAUCUGCAUAAGUUUUGGCCUUGAUUUCGUUUUGAGUUUGCUAGUAAAGAAAAUUAAAAUGCAAAAAUUUGAAAAAAGGAAAACCAAAAGAAAACAGGCUGCCAUUAGCCCAGAUUUUGUGAUCGAGGGAUUGUACCUGGAAGAUUUGCAACUACUGUCUCAGCGUAAUGUCCAGUACAAACCACCACAGCCUGAAACUCCUCCUCGCCACUCGCCCCACUCGUUCUCGACUCAACAACCCACUCAUCAUCAUCCCCCGAGUCGAACCUCUCAACUCGGACGACUUCGGUCUCGAACCGGAUCAACUCAGUGAGUCCGAAUUCCCUCGCGAAAUCCUUCACGAACUUGAGCACCUCCUCGUGUCCGGGGAAAUUCCUCGGAUCCCCGUAAACCCGAUCGGUAAACGAGUAGUCCGAGAGACCCAUGAGGUGUCUGGGCAAGUUGGUUCGGAGAGAGGAGUAGAGGCUGCUGUCGACGAUCUCCCGUUUCGGGUCGAGGCCCAAUGGAUCGGACUCGACACGCGGAUCGUAGACCCAUGUUCCACCAGGUUGGUUUGAUUUUUCAUAGACCACGACUCGGUGGCCUUCUCUGAGUAGCUCACGGGCUGUGACUAGGCCUGAUACCCCGGCCCCAAUUAUUGCCACCUUCAGAGAGAUUUCCAUUGUGUUUUCCAACUUUUCCAACUUUUGUCUUUAU